This 253-nucleotide ribosomal RNA is filed under the name uncultured bacterium. Its description in RNAcentral is "partial 16S ribosomal RNA". It matches the Rfam family "Bacterial small subunit ribosomal RNA", at positions 524 to 776 of the family's 1533-position model. The record is from RNAcentral.
UACGUAGGGUGCAAGCGUUAAUCGGAAUUACUGGGCGUAAAGCGUGCGCAGGCGGUUAUGUAAGACAGAUGUGAAAUGCCCGGGCUUAACCUGGGAACUGCAUUUGUGACUGCAUGGCUAGAGUUUGGCAGAGGGGGGUGGAAUUCCACGUGUAGCAGUGAAAUGCGUAGAUAUGCGGAGGAACACCGAUGGCGAAGGCAAUCCCCUGGGCCUGCACUGACGCUCAUGCACGAAAGCGUGGGGAGCAAACAGG